AGCUAUGACUAUGGAUGAUUUUGUUAAUAUAUUAAUCUAGAAUCCAAAAUAUUAAGUUAUUUAUAAGGUAUUUAAAAUACCCUAUGCAGAAUAUUGUGUUAAAUUUAAAUUAGCAAGAAAGGUCAAUUCUACACUGUUAUACAUUGCCAGUACUAAAGUUGACAGAAUAGAAACAUAUAUUUAUUGUAUUUGGAUCUUUAUAAAAUUAAUAUUUUUGUUCUACCAGUAUCAAUCAACCAUUUACUCUAUGUUGGACAUUUUCUAGAGGAUAGAUAUACAACAUUAAACAAAGCAGAAUGGAACCCCUAGGCUCCCUCUUCACUCUAGUGGAGGGAUCCAUAGCAUAAACAAAUACGUAAAUGAAAUGUAUAGCAUGUUCCAUGGUGGUAGGUGAUAUGGAAACAGGUCAGGAAGGGGUCUGGGGGUUGUCAGGCCAGAGUCUGACUUUCCAGGUUAAAUAGGAUGUUGAGGAAAACUCUUCACUGAGAAAGAUACAAGCAGACUGUAAUGUUGAAAUCUGGAAAAAAAUCACCAGCAGUAGGAACAAUUAAAAAGUCAUAGAAUGAAGUGUUUAUAUUUAAUUGUGGAUUUAAUAUUAGAGUCAACAAAAUAUACUCAUGAAAUGAAUGUAAAAUAUGAGAAACAGGGAGUCAGUGAUGACCCUGAGUUUUCUGCAGGUGGAGAACAUAUGCAAAGGAGGGUAUUAGGCUUACUGGAGUGAGACAUGGGGAUUGUGGGCCAUUUGUGAGUACAGUGAACCCACCAAGAAUUAUGAUAGGAGUGGAGAGUAGAAGCAUGUUGGUGACCCAGGUGCCAAAAUCAUCAGGGAGCAAAGCUGCAUGCAACGAUGAGGGGGGAGAUGAGGACUUACAAUGCAAAGUUGGAGGUUUGGGGAAAAUAGUCUGGAAAUGAUGGGGCACCAACCCAGUGAAUGUCGUGGGAAUUCUACAACACCAGGCACCUGCAGACAGGGCUUGAGGGAGCAUCUUCUCAAGGAAGCCUGCCAAGUUUCCAUCAGGGAAGCUUAGGUGGGAGGAUGCCAUUCCUUAGGAGUCUGGGAUGAGGAUAGAGGGUGGCUGAGGAACUACUGAGAGUGCUGGAGAGCAGGAGACAAGUGGAGACAGUUCGAGGGGAAUGAAGGUGAUGGGAUAAAGGCAGGGAUGGAGGAAAGUGUGAAGGCUGGCUGGAAGGUUCCAGAACUCUGGAAUUUCCCUCUUUGAAUGAAUGAAGAGGCUGCUUCUCAGGGCACUAUUAGCUUGAAAAUUAUAUACAUUUUUUUAAAUGCCUAACUAUACUUUAAAAUAAUUGUGGUCCAACAUAACAUUGAAAUCUUUUAAAAAUUAUUUUCCACUAUGGCUUAUUACAGGAUAUUGAAUAUAGUUCUCUAUGACUUUGUUGCUUAUCUAUUUUAUAUACAAUAGUGUAUAUGUGCUAAUGCCAAACUUCGAAUUUAUCCUUCUCCCAUCCCCUUUCCCCUUUGGUAACUGUAAGUUUGUUUACUAUGUCUGUGAGUCUUUUUCUGUUUUGCAAAUAAGUUCAUUUGUGUCAUAUUUUAGAUGCCACAUAUAAGUGUAAUAUUUGUCUUUCUCUGUCUGACUUCACUUAAUAAGAUAAGCUCUAGGUCCAUCCAUGUCACUGCAAAUGGCAUUAUUUCAUUCUUUUUUAUGGCUGUGUAUUAUUCCAUUAUAUAUAUAUAGUAUUCCAUUCAUUCAUUCCUCUGUCAGUAGACAUUUAGGUUAUUUCCAUAUAUUGGCUAUUGUGAAUAGUGCUGCAGUCAACAUAAGGGUGCAUGUAUCUUUUCAAUUACGGCUUUUUUCUGAAUAUAUGUCCAGGAGUGUAUGGGAUUGCUGGGUCAUAUAGCAACUCUAUUUUUAGUUUUUUUUUUAAUAAACCACCACUAUACUGUUCUCCAUAGUGUAUGUACCAAUUUAUAUUCCCACCCACAGUGUAAGAGAGUUCCCUUUUCUCCAUAUCCUCUCUAACAUUUUUUAUUUAUAAACUUAAUAAUAGCCAUUCUGACUGGUGUGAGGUGGUACCUUAUACAGUUGUGAUUUACAUUUCUCUAAUAAUUAGUGAUGUUGAGCAUCUUUUCUUGCACCUGUUGACCAUCUGUAUAUCUUCUUUGGAAAAAUGUCAGUUUAGGUCUUCUACCCAGUUUUUGAUUGGGUUGUUUGAUUUUGUGUUAUUGAAUUGUAUAUAAUGGGUUCUUUGUAUGUUUUGGAAAUUAAGCCCUUGUUGGUCCCAUCAUUUGCAAAUAUUUUCUCCUUGUCCAAAGAUUGUCUUUUCAUUUUGUUUGUGAUUUCCUUUGCUGUGCAGAGACUUAUGUUUGACAAGGUCCCAUUUGUUUAAUUUUGCUUUAAAAAGUAUUUAAUUUUUCUAUUGCCUUGGGAGACGCACUUGAGAAAACAUUUGUAUGAUUUAUGUCAGAGAAUAUUUUUCCUAUGCUCUCUACUAGGAGUUUUAUGGUGUCAUGACUUAUUUUUAAGUCUUUAAUACAUUUUGAGUUAUUUUAGUGCAUGGUGUGAGGGUGUGCUUUUUUUCAUGCCCACGGCAUGUGGAAAUUCCCAGGCCAGGAAUCAAACCUGUGCUGCAGCAGUACUGUGCCACAUCCUUAACCCACUGAGGAACCCACCAGGUAACUCCAGGGCUCUUUAUCACAUGCCAUUGAUCCAUAUUUAUUUUUUUAUAACAAUACCACAUUGUAUACAGAUAUUACUGUAUCUUUGUAGUAUUGUCUGAAGUCUGGGAGGGUUAUGUCUCCAAGGUUUGUUCUUUUUCCUCAGGAUUGCUUUGGCAAUUUUAGGUUUUAUAUGGUUCCAUAUAAAUUUUAAAAUUAUUUGUCCUAUUUCUUUGAAAAUGUCAUGGGUAAUUUGAUAGGGAUUGCAUUAAAUCUGUAGGUUGCUUUGGGUAGUACAAGCAUUUUAAGAAUAUUAAUUCUGCUAAUACAAGAACAUAGAAUAUAUUUCCAUUUCUUUGAGUCAUCUUUAAUUACUUUUAUCAGUGUUUUAUAGUUCUCAGCAUAUAAGUCUUUUACCUCCUUGGUCAGGUUUAUUCCUAAGGUUUUUUUUAAUGUGAUUUUAAAAGGGAUUGCUUUUUACUUUGCCUUUUGUUUAAAUAAAUAUCUUAUAUGAAGCCAGUAAAGGAGUCUUCCUUACUUUAUAAAAAGCCAUUUUCCUAACAUCAAGUAUAUCUUAUUGAAAGCUCAGUGCUGUGUUAAUGUUCAGAUUUGUAUGUAAGAAGAGUCAAUUUCAUUUUAAAAAUAAUGUUUCAUUAAAAUACUCCCUUAACAUGUUGCUGAAAAUAAAGCUGUGAAUUUGGUCUUCCACACCAAGCAUUACACUGCACACAAGCUGGGCACCUGGUAAUCCAUGCUGAGUCUAAUUUUCCUGCUAUUAAAUAAAAAUUGCACUUCAAAUGACCUAAUCAUCUUUUAAAAGCAUUUGCUCAACAAGACAUUAAAAAAAAAAACCCUGUAUGCAUGUUAUCCGAGAGAAACUCUUAGAAACAGAGUAUCCAUUAAAAAAACCUGAAAUAAAAGGGAAAUUAGUUUGAAGCAGCCUAAAAUAUCAGUGAUAGUAAAUUUAGAGACUUGAAGACUGCAGGUCAGUCUGGGUACCAACCAUCACAUUCAAUUGUGCCAACUCUGGUGAAUGUAACUGCUGAGGUUGCUGGCUCUGCGCCUUGCAUGAAAGGCAUGGGGAGGACAAUUUUUAUUGACUUCAUUUGGACUUAUGAUGUUGCCGAACACAAGAACUUACUGGAACAAAUGGAUAAGGCUCCAUCUCCAAUUACACACAUGUACACAGGCUCAUGUGCUCUUGAAACUACCAGCAUGGCAGGAGAAUAUAAAUGCAAAACAUGAGGUGGCUGUGACAAAUUUAGUACACAUGUGAAACAGUUUUCAGUAGGACCAGGAACUGACAAAUCCAAUCUGAUUGUACCUUUUUUAUAGUAAUUCAUGGGACCAGAGACCUGUAACUUCCAGAUCCACUCCUUUGUAACUUCUGUCCUUUUCCAAGUGGCUUUGCCUGUGCCUCAUGUUUAGUCAGUCAUUACUUCUCUAACCAUGCUGUAUUUUUUCCCAGAUAUAAAUUUUUAUAGAGCAGAGACUGUGUUCUACUUUAAUUCAUUCACAUUUAAGUGUUUACAUUGGCGUGGUGAUGUUACAGCUCUUAUUUUUGUAUGUGUCUAUCUACUUCCACUAGAUGGUGUGGAACUUCAACUUAGAAAGAAAGGCUUCGCAACCUCGUGUCCAAGUCAUGGUGCAGAAGUGCACAUGGUAAGGUGUGGGGAGUAGAUCCACCUCACUUCCCUGGAAGACAUUAGUAAGAUGAGUGUCAUUAUCUUGGUGAAUUUUUAAUCCAAGGUCUUAACCAUCAUUUUGAUGAUGCAGAAAAUUAACAGCCUACUAAAAGCAGAUGCAUCUUUUGGAGACAGACUACCUUAACAAAGGUCAAAGCCCAUUGCCCAAAACAAGAAUGUCAGUCUAUCACUUUAUAAUGUGACAUAUAUUUACCAUAAGGUCUUAGACAUUCUUUUCUGUUACACUAGUGUGGGGAUGGUUCUACAAUCCUACAUGAGAAGAGAUACCAUUUUUAUAAGAUGGCUAGGGAAGGAUGCAAUCCUUUCACUAAUAACUACCAAAGAAAGAACAGUGGAUGUGAGAUUAAGUACAUUUUGGCAGCAGAAUUUAAGGUAGCACAAGAAUGAAGAGUGCCUGAUUCAGUGGACUGACAUCUAAAAAUAGUAUUUCCAGUGGAAAUGGAAAUGGAAAUGAAUAUUCAGCCAAAGAGGUACCAAGACAUGGUCCUCAUAGGGGGAAGUAUUAGCCAUCUUCACACACAAGCACUGUUGGGAAGGAAACAUACCCCAUGUCUGUGGAAUAUCUCAUCCCUGGUGGACACUUGGUUCCUAAAGUGAAGAUUCAGCAUAGAGUUUCUCCUCCCUCUUUGGUAUUUCUGUAAUGUUGCUCUCAUGGUUUCUGCUUAACAAACACUACUGUGACUCUGUCCCUGAUCAAAGCACACCCAGCAUAAAUGGUCUGUCAUCCUUACACUUUCCUGAAGUACUAUUAUUCCACAGGGAAACAGGCAAACUAGAAGUUACAGUGAUGCAGUAACAUGCCCAUUUCCACAGGACCAAGAAAUGACAGAGUUGGAAGUCAGGUUCCCAAGGACACACCCCCAAGUUCAAACAUGUGCAAAGCUGGAGGCAGAGAGCUAGAUUUGGGGCCUGGAGUGUAUAAAAUUUGAGAGACUCUUUUAAAGAAGAAUAUGCAAAGUCAUGAUUAUAAAACUGAGUAUUUCCUUAGAAACAAGGAUGUUACACCAGAUUAUAAAAUUAAAAGCACUAACAAAUAGCUCAGGUGUUACAAAGAAAAGCACACACAGUAAAAACAGUAUUUUUAUAACUAUUUGGGCCAAACUGAUAAUGCUUUUUUUUUUCACUUUUCAGGGCUGCACAUGGAUGUUCCACAGGCUAGGGGUUGAAUGGGAGCUAUAGCCACUGGCCUAAACCGCAACCACAGCAAGGUGAGAUCUGAGCUGUGCCUGCGACUACACCACAGCUCACAGCAAUGCCUUAUCCUUAACCCACUGAGUGAGUCCAGGGAUUGAACCUAUGUCUUCAUGGAUGCUAGUUAGAUUCGUUUAUGCUGAGCCACUAUGGGAACUCUGAUGAUACUUUUUUCUUACAGUUUUGGUUGCAUCCUUCUUUGACUACUUCUCUGUAUAGUGGUAUUCUAAUAGUUUCUUUAGUGAUCAAAAGAUAAUUCAAUUUUUCCCCUAAGAUAGUUGAUCGAAUUUAAUUAUUACUGACAAUUUGAAUGUGAGCAUUGCAUUAUUUCACAUCUUUUAUAUCCAUUCUUUGUAGUCCUGUUACUGGUUUAAGUACCAGAAACAUGGGAAUUUUGACAAAUUAUAUUAGAUGAAUCUCAUCAAAAGGGAGAAAAGUUGUACAGUGUAUGAGAAUCAUUUAUACUUCUUUAUCAAGGAUAUUCUUGAUAAGAGAAAUUCUGCUUAAACUAGACAUAAGUAGAUACCACAGUCCUCAGCUUAAGUUUUGCACAUUUAAUGGCUGGAAGAUGUCUAUAAACUUAACUUCUUACAUCAUCUAUUGCAAAACUAUUUCUUCUCUGCCUUACACCUACUUCCAGUGCUAGUGGCCCUUGCUCGUGUAUAUGACAGUACAACCCCAACUUUUAGCCGUUUUAAUAACAAUACGAGUGGUCAAAUCCAGUGGGUGGGUGGAGUCAUCCUGAAAAACGUCACUACACUUGGAUAUUUAGGAAUAAAGUAGCAUUGAAGAUAAAUUACUGCAAACCACACAGUCAUGUUCCACCAUUGUCUUACAGUGUACAUCCAAACUCUCCCUAACUGCAUCUCCAGCCACCGUGGUCACUGACCCCUGACAUGAAAGGAGACAUGGUUGAGGGAAAACUGAGGUUAAAUGAGAAUGGUGAGGUUUUCCAAAAUCAAUUACCAUGCCUCCCAUUGCUAGGUCCCUCCCAGGACUUAAAGGGAUCUGUGCAAUGUGGGCCCUGGGCUUAAGUUCUGUGAGUUUCUUUUGGAUUAAUUUCUGUGAUGACAGCUGUAUCAUCAGAUGGUAGUAUAUGUGGUUAAUAUUCAAAAUGACGACGGAGUUCCUGUUGUGGCUCAGUAAGUUAAGAAUCCAACUUAGUAUCCAUGAGGAUGUGGGUUUGAUCCCUGCCCUUGUACGGUGAGUUAAGGAUCUGGUGUUGCCAUGAGCUGUGGUGUAGGUCGAAGAUGCUUUACCUGAUCCUGCAUUACCAUGGCUGCAAAAUGCAGCUCUGAUUUGAACCCUAGCCUGGGAACUUCCUUCCAUAUGCCUCAGGUGUGGCC
RNAcentral lists this long non-coding RNA (6860 nucleotides) under Sus scrofa (pig). RNAcentral's name for it is "lncRNA (ENSSSCG00000062316.1)". Lineage: Eukaryota; Metazoa; Chordata; Mammalia; Artiodactyla; Suidae. The record is from RNAcentral.